AAAAAGUUAGUAUAAAUAGUACGUUCCGUUUACACUGGAGAGGUGCAAAGAGCGCUUUUUA
RNAcentral lists this transfer RNA (61 nucleotides) under Pinctada margaritifera. RNAcentral describes it as "tRNA-Val". The record is from RNAcentral. Lineage: Eukaryota; Metazoa; Mollusca; Bivalvia; Pterioida; Pteriidae.